GUGCGAGACCGAUAGCGAACAAGUACCGUGAGGGAAAGAUGAAAAGAACUUUGAAAAGAGAGUUAAAGAGUACCUGAAACUGCUGAAAGGGAACCGAAUCGUUUCCAGUGUCUAUAAUCUAUGGCAUAUUUCAUUGGCGUGUGGGUGUGUGCAGCGUUUUGGAAGUAGUUUUCUGCUCCUGUCGUUGUUUUGCGCUCGCCUGCUGGUGCCCUGUGCUGUAGUGGGACGUCAGAGUCAGUUUGUAUGCUGCGGGAAAUGGUUACUGGGGAGGUAGGUCACUUCGGUGGCUGUUAUAUCCUGGUGACUAGUCGUCGUGGUUGAGACUGAGGUGCCUAC
This 336-nucleotide ribosomal RNA is filed under the name uncultured Oomycota. Its description in RNAcentral is "eukaryotic LSU rRNA". It matches the Rfam family "Eukaryotic large subunit ribosomal RNA", at positions 326 to 612 of the family's 3401-position model. The record is from RNAcentral. Lineage: Eukaryota; Oomycota.